Long non-coding RNA from Oncorhynchus mykiss (rainbow trout), 4593 nucleotides. Lineage: Eukaryota; Metazoa; Chordata; Actinopteri; Salmoniformes; Salmonidae. The record is from Ensembl.
AUGUCUGUGUUGCAGGCCCAGACUGACCUAGUGGACGUGAACACUCAGAACCGCGACGGGCUGACCCCUCUAAUGCUGGCUGUGAGGGACGUCGACUUGUUUGAGGAGCUGGACGUCCGGUUGCCAUGGGAAUACAGACCUGUGGAGGUGGUCAGGGAACUGCUGGCUCUCUCAGCUGACCUGGGGGUGUGUGACGUCAACGGCUGUUCUGCUCUUCACUAUGCUGCACAGAUAGAGAGCCCCCUGAAAGACGAACUCAUCCACAUGAUGGUUGAGUCCCUCAGACAGCCAGGUAUAACAUGACUUUCAACCAAGAUGGUCAGACAAAUCCAACAUAACACAACUCAGAUGUUUGGUAUGGUUUGAUAUAUUCUGUUUACUUUUGAGGAUAUUCCAGGGAAAUACUUCUCUAUCCAAGUACAAACCAUGUGAUCUGUUGGUUAUACACAUACUAGUACCACACCAAAUCUGCUUGUUUGUGGCAUUUCGUUCUUAUGACAUCACAGCACUCAGGUCAUGUACAACCUGAUGCCUUUAAACUUUUCAAAUCGAUCCUGACAGAAAUGCAAUACAGAUUUGACUUAUCUAUUAGCUUAGUGUAUAGCACAGGAGGCUGCUGAGGGGAGAACUGCUCAUAAUAAUGGCAGAAACAGCACAAAUGGAAUGCCAUUAAACACAUGGAAACCAUGUCUCUGAUACCAUCCCACGUAUUCCGCUCCAGCCAUUAUCAUGAGCCCCUUCUGCCCAAUUAAGGUGCCACAAACCUCCUGUGGUGAAUAGUAUUGAUUUAGUCGAUCCGUGCAGUGUGUACUUGCGUAAUCAAAUGUUUUCCUGAGCUUGGAGGAGGGGUCAAAGCCAGCACUCAUAUGGGAAAUCCUGGUGAAUUCCUGAGGGGCUGAGUGUGUGAGAGGGCCUUGUUUCCUCUUGUGCUCACUGACUCCACACCUCCGUCUCAUUCUGCCCUGGUCAACAAACAGCGCCCACGCCCCUGGACCUGCAGUGCUUCCACCCUGAUGAGCUGAGAGUAAACUCCCCCAGCCCCUCUCCCUCUCUAACCGAUGAGCUGAGAGCAACAAACUCCCCAAGCUCCUCUCCCUAUCUGACCCAAAAUGUCCUCAUUCAGACUGCUGCCAGCACAGAGGUAAGUGAUCCUCCAGUUGUACAGUUAUGUAAGAAGUGUACAAGUCUGUCAUUUAGUGGAGACCUACUUCAUAAUGUGAUUUUGUUCACUAUGUGUUAAUACAUUUUAAGAUCAUCAAAUAUAUUACAAGACAAGUUAGUUGUAUUGCAUCAAAAUAAAUGUACUACAACAUAGCUUCUGUCUCAAAUGCAUUAUUUAUUACUUGCCCAAAUAUCCUUAAUCAAUUAAAAGGCUUAAUCCAUAGUGGCUCUUCCCCUAAAGCAAUGGGGCCCAAUUCACCAGAGACCUGAGUUACGUCAGUGUAAUUGGCUGGUGGGGAGUCUGUGUUCUGACUAGAUGACUCUUAGCUAUAUCCUGACUUUGCUUUGAAGUGGCCUUAACAGGUGAGACAAGGGCAGGGAGCGCAGCUGGCUACUGUCUGGUGUCUAAUGACCCAGCCCACUUAUUGAAUAGCGGAAGGGCAGAUGGUUGAAAGAGGCUAUCCCAGGGGCACACAAACAUAGCAGACUGGGCACUAACGUGAAGCUAUAUAAUAUUUUAGGGCCCCCCCAGGGAAAUUAAAUGGGGUGGAGUUGUUAAUCAGAUGUUUAACAAUCUAAUUCGUUAUAGGCUCUGAAAUAAAUGUCAGUUGAACAUAACCACUAGCUACAACAACAGUCACCAUCGUCCUCCUAACUGCACUUAGGACAGUGAUAUCAUAGAUAUUUUUGUGGAUUCAUGCCAAAUGCCACAGGGUUUAAGGCUACUUAUGACCAUUCUUAUUUUCCCAUUGUAGGAUUUGCUGGAGUCUCCAGAGUGCGUUCCUUUAUCCGACCAUCAUAAAGCCAUCAAUCAAGGUAAGCUGUAUUUCCUUAUUGUGCACUGUCACCUACAGUAGGUAGGGUCUUGGACAGUGACUCCUUGUGUCCCUGGUCUGUGUGCCCUGUUGGCUCUACACAAGACCACCCCCUCCUCCCAAACACACCCUUCCCCUCUCUUCACACACUGGGCCUAUCCCACAAAGAGACAGCCACAAAGGCCAGCCCUGCCAUGGCCCAAGCUGAUUGGGUCAGUGUGCUAAAUCACUCCCCUCAAGGAGACACAAUACAGACUCCCAGCUGGAAACCUUCCUGACUCCUGUCAGACACACACAACAGAAGAGUUGCUCAGAGAGCGAAAACGAGAGCGAGCGAAUGAGAGGUGUACAGCCCCUCUCAAUCUCAUUCUGUCAUAUAAUCUGAGUAGGCUGAGAUGAGGGUAGAUUGGACUAACUGGCUCUGAAACAGGUAACGUCUAUUGUUUCUUAUGUUGUUCUCGAACCACUUUGUUUGGAAAGUACUAUAAAUGCUAAAUGUCAUUUGUAGUUUUCUGCACAUAGGCUGUGUAUAGAAACAGUUGUGUGUAAAAACAACAUGUAAAUAGUGUAAAAUGUUUUGUAUUAUGCAGUGAUAAUAAAUUAUAUUAUUGGUUCAGUUGGAUCUUGGUGAAAUUCUACUGAGUUUAUCAUAAACAGUGUCAUGGUGGAGCAUCUGGGCUCCCGAGUGGCGCAGCGGUCUAAUGCACUGCAUCUCAGUGCAAGAGGCGUCACUACAGUCCCUGGUUCGAAUCCAGGCUGUAUCACAUCCGGCUGUGAUUGGGAGUCCCAUAGGGCGGAAGACAAUUGGCCCAGCGUCGUCCCCGUUUGGCCGUCAUUGUAAAUAAGAAUUUGUUCUGAACUGACUUGCCUAGUUAAAUAAAGGUUAACUGGAGAAAAAAAAAUCGGAUUUGUCAGUGGACUGUUGUGAUACCGAAUGCUAUCCUACGUGUAACAGAGGAACCAUUCACUGUUGGCUUGGGACUUUUGCUGUUGACACACAGUAGCAGUAAUGUCCCUGCUGUGUGUGAAAGGUACAUCAACCCCUACUGACCUCAGGCUGUGUUGGGUCCUGUAGAUAAGGGGCUCUCCCUCUCCUUCCAGAGCGCCAUGGAUACCCUGAUGGACAUGAGGCAAGCCUACCAAGAUCUGGGGAAGGGUAGCAGGUGGGCACGCACACACGCUCCAUGUUAAUUAGAACGGCUAUAAAUUAAUACAACAAUACAGUAACCACAGGGCAAAUUGAGUCAGGAACACAUCCAAACACCAACACCUGUUCAUACAGACACACACAAACACUUAUGCACACAUCCUUGCUAUUAACUAGCACUCUCACACACAAACAAAUCCACCGUAUGCUAGUCCCUCCUCCUUGUGUGUACUUCACCCCCCCACCCCUCCCUCACUUACAUAAAUACAGAAUAAGAAGUGUCCAGUUACACAGUCAGGCCAGCAGUCAUCAUGUCAAGGGCAUGCCAAUCUUCCCAAACAGAGAACAGAGGGAGACCGAGAGAAACAGGGGGAGGGAGGGAGAAACUGAGGGAGAGUCUACUUUCUGAAACAGAUCAUUGUCUGUAGGGCUCUUACUGCUGAGAGAGGUCCAAAGGGAUCCUGGGAGAAUAAACCCCUUUGAAAAGUUCUCACUUUACAGCAUCAGCCCCUGGCCAGCGUCCUUCUGCUGUGCCCUCUGUCCUGCAUCCACACAGAACAGAGAAUGUCCAUCCCUUUCAAUUGCACUGUGUUCAUUAUUAGGAAAUUAUAUAAGAUUACCCUGUCUCAGCUCCAGGUUUUGUGAAUUAUAGAUGAUUUUAAUGAACCAAAUUAUUUUACCAAGAUUACCUGUGAAGAGCAUAGUGAGGUGCAAAGGAUUUAUUCUCAAAUCUACUUUGUUCUCUCUCCAGUCAAGGUUCAUCUCUACCCAGUCUGUGGUUCAGAGCCAGACACUUAGACAAACUGGAUCCUACACCGGGGCUAUUGAAGACCACAGGAAGCUCAUCCUGCCUGCCUGUUCCCCCCAGGCUCAGAUGUGAGGCUGUUGCCCCCAGCCCGGUGGCCCCUCACCCAGCCCAGCUGAGCCAAUCUGCCCCCGGUCUAUUGGAGCCUCUCCUGGACUCUCUGGUCCAGGCCCGAGUUCACAUCCAGAACAGUCAGUAAUAUAAUAAUAUGUCUGCUAAAGGCUUAGAGGACAGUAUAAAGGUCAGCAUGUUGUUGAUUCAUUUGUUUAGGUAAAGGUCAUGCUCAUGAAUGUGUUUAGAGAAGUACUCUUUGUUGAGGAAAUUAGUUAAGUAAUUUUGUGUUUGUAAAGCUUGGCAUGUUCUUGUCUUGCAGGGCUUGGAUGUGUUGAAACGGAGAAAAAAAGCAGUUGUCGAAAGGUAGGUCAACUCAAAUAAAUCAUGUUUUAUUCGUACAUCACAUUUUCAUACAGCUUCCUUAGUUUGUAAAAACCACCUGUAAUCUGCUAUUUAUUCACAGUUGCCUUUUCCAAUCAUCUCUAUCCAGGGCUCCUUCCCUGCCCUGCUUCCAGGCCCUAUCAGGACCCCCAAGCUGUUAGCCCCUCUGGAGGGGAGGCAUAGAAACGAAGGAGUGCUGCCCGGCCUGAAGCACCCUUCUCCCCUAAAGC